ACUCCUACGGGAGGCAGCAGUGGGGAAUCUUGGACAAUGGGGGCAACCCUGAUCCAGCCAUGCCGCGUGAGUGAUGAAGGCCUUAGGGUCGUAAAGCUCUUUCGCCUGUGAUGAUAAUGACAGUAGCAGGUAAAGAAACCCCGGCUAACUCCGUGCCAGCAGCCGCGGUAAUACGGAGGGGGUUAGCGUUGUUCGGAAUUACUGGGGCGUAAAGCGCGCGUAGGCGGAUUAGUAAGUCAGAGGUGAAAUCCCGGGGCUCAACCCCGGAACUGCCUUUGAUACUGCUAGUCUUGAGUUCGAGAGAGGUGAGUGGAAUUCCGAGUGUAGAGGUGAAAUUCGUAGAUAUUCGGAGGAACACCAGUGGCGAAGGCGGCUCACUGGCUCGAUACUGACGCUGAGGUGCGAAAGUGUGGGGAGCAAACAGGAUUAGAUACCCUGGUAGGAUAGCC
Molecule: ribosomal RNA, 449 nt
Filed under: uncultured bacterium
Lineage: Bacteria
Description: bacterial SSU rRNA
Rfam family: Bacterial small subunit ribosomal RNA
Source: RNAcentral